RNAcentral lists this ribosomal RNA (301 nucleotides) under uncultured bacterium. Its description in RNAcentral is "partial 16S ribosomal RNA". It matches the Rfam family "Bacterial small subunit ribosomal RNA", at positions 509 to 807 of the family's 1533-position model. The record is from RNAcentral.
CAGCCGCCGCGGUAAUACAGAGGGUGCGAGCGUUAAUCGGAUUUACUGGGCGUAAAGCGUGCGUAGGCGGCUUUUUAAGUCGGAUGUGAAAUCCAUGAGCUUAACUUAGGAAUUGCAUUCGAUACUGGGAAGCUAGAGUAUGGGAGAGGAUGGUAGAAUUCCAGGUGUAGCGGUGAAAUGCGUAGAGAUCUGGAGGAAUACCGAUGGCGAAGGCAGCCAUCUGGCCUAAUACUGACGCUGAGGUACGAAAGCAUGGGGAGCAAACAGGAUUAGAUACCCCAGUAGUCCCUGUCUCUUAUAC